RNAcentral lists this ribosomal RNA (631 nucleotides) under uncultured eukaryote. Its description in RNAcentral is "SSU rRNA". It matches the Rfam family "Eukaryotic small subunit ribosomal RNA", at positions 610 to 1259 of the family's 1831-position model. The record is from RNAcentral.
UUGUUGCAGUUAAAAAGCUCGUAGUUGGACUUUAGGCAAGGCGGCCUGGUCACCCUCUGGGUGUACUGGGAUCGCUGCGCCUCACCUUCGGGGAGCUAGUCGUGCUUCGGUGCGCUAGGGAACCGAGCCUUACCUUGAGGAAAUUAGAGUGUUUAAAGCAGGCUUAUGCUUGAAUACGUUAGCAUGGAAUAACAUGAUAGGACUUUGGUUCUAUUUUGUUGGUUUGAGGACCAAAGUAAUGAUUAAUAGGGACAGUUGGGGGCAUUAGUAUUCAAUAGUCAGAGGUGAAAUUCUUGGAUUUAUUGAAGACUAACUAAUGCGAAAGCAUUUGCCAAGGAUGUUUUCAUUAAUCAAGAACGAAAGUUAGGGGAUCGAAGACGAUUAGAUACCGUCGUAGUCUUAACCAUAAACUAUGCCGACUAGGGAUCGGUGGAAGUCGAUUUUGACUCCAUCGGCACCUUACGAGAAAUCAAAGUUUUUGGGUUCUGGGGGGAGUAUGGUCGCAAGGCUGAAACUUAAAGGAAUUGACGGAAGGGCACCGCCAGGAGUGGAGCCUGCGGCUUAAUUUGACUCAACACGGGAAAACUCACCAGGUCCGGACAUGGGAAGGAUUGACAGAUUGAGAGCUCUU